Molecule: ribosomal RNA, 253 nt
Filed under: uncultured bacterium
Lineage: Bacteria
Description: partial 16S ribosomal RNA
Rfam family: Bacterial small subunit ribosomal RNA
Source: RNAcentral
UACGUAGGGGGCAAGCGUUGUCCGGAUUCAUUGGGCGUAAAGAGCGUGUAGGCGGCCAGGUAGGUCGGUUGUGAAAACUGGAGGCUCAACCUUCAGAGGUCGACCGAAACCAUCUGGCUAGAGUCCGGGAGAGGAGAGUGGAAUUCCUGGUGUAGCGGUGAAAUGCGUAGAUAUCUGGAGGAACACCGGUGGCGAAGGCGGCAUCCUGGACCGGUAUUGACGCUGAGGCGCGAAAGCUAGGGGAGCAAACGGG